CGGCGAGUGAAGCGGCAACAGCUCAAAUUUGAAAUCUGGCUCUCGGGCCCGAGUUGUAAUUUGUAGAGGAUACUUUUGAUGCGGUGCCUUCCGAGUUCCCUGGAACGGGACGCCAUAGAGGGUGAGAGCCCCGUCUGGUUGGAUGCCAAAUCUCUGUAAAGUUCCUUCGACGAGUCGAGUAGUUUGGGAAUGCUGCUCUAAAUGGGAGGUAUAUGUCUUCUAAAGCUAAAUACCGGCCAGAGACCGAUAGCGCACAAGUAGAGUGAUCGAAAGAUGAAAAGCACUUUGAAAAGAGAGUUAAAAAGUACGUGAAAUUGUUGAAAGGGAAGCGUUUAUGACCAGACUUGGGCUUGGUUAAUCAUCUGGGGUUCUCCCCAGUGCACUUUUCCAGUCCAGGCCAGCAUCAGUUUUCCCUGGGGGAUAAAGACUUCGGGAAUGUGGCUCUCUUCGGGGAGUGUUAUAGCCCGUUGUGUAAUACCCUGGGGGGGACUGAGGUUCGCGCAUCUGCAAGGAUGCUGGCGUAAUGGUCAUCAACGAC
This 538-nucleotide ribosomal RNA is filed under the name Fusarium sp. CJB1. Its description in RNAcentral is "eukaryotic LSU rRNA". It matches the Rfam family "Eukaryotic large subunit ribosomal RNA", at positions 87 to 648 of the family's 3401-position model. Lineage: Eukaryota; Fungi; Ascomycota; Sordariomycetes; Hypocreales; Nectriaceae. The record is from RNAcentral.